ACCGCAUCAACUUCGCAGAUGUUUUUUAUGAAUUCGUUCUACUAAGCCUUCUAGAAGGAAAGACAUCUCUUCCUAUAUCUAAGCCUGGUAGCUUCCUUUAUCUGCUCCUGCAAGUCAUAAUGAGGAUUUACCCUCCUGGAGGAGCCUGGACAGAGGCUGCUGAGAACUUCUACCUCCUCGUUAAGGGCCAGAUGAAGGCAUGGCUAGAAUCCAUCUUCAACCUCAAUGACUCAAUCUAUGAAAGCCCAGAGAGGCUCUCGGGGGAGGUGAUGGGGAAUCUAGAAAUACAGGUUGAGUUCCUGCUGUCCAGCCUGGAUUAAGGUUCCCAAACUGAGCUGAGGGCCCCAUCACAAAAUAAAGUGUUUUGCAUUUAAA
Long non-coding RNA from Coregonus clupeaformis (lake whitefish), 375 nucleotides. RefSeq lists it as uncharacterized. Lineage: Eukaryota; Metazoa; Chordata; Actinopteri; Salmoniformes; Salmonidae. The record is from RefSeq and is a predicted model, not a curated record. The transcript has 3 exons.